AACGUUUUGUAGAUAAUAAAAACAAAUAAAUAAAACAAAAAAUUUAACAAAGGCAGUGGCUGACUGGCUGUUUGGCUGUUGUGACAGGAUAGUGCUGGUGAAGGUGGCGGGAAUGUUGAUUGUGGUAAUGUCGUCUGAGAGGAUAGGUGGUUGCAGCAACGAUCAUGUUGGUGACGGGCGGUAGGUUUGACGGUUUUCGCCUUGGCGAUGGGAAGUUGUGGCAACGAUUGCCGGUUGGUGGUGUGGCGGUGGCCGUGUACCAAGUGUGUGCAAUGGACCAAGACUUGAUCAGACCGAACAAAAAAAAAUAGGACUGAUGUCUGGACCUGAAGUAACUCGGCCGGGCUCGGUUCGGCCAGACCUAAUAGGCGAAUACAGGGUUGCGAAACCAAAGAAAAAACGGAAAAGACGAGCGGGUUGAAAAAGAACUAAACGAGGUUGCAUCUACAAAUGCGCUGAAGAUCUGUACAUAAUGCUGUAUACAGGGGAAAGUGAUGUUUGAAACUGAAGUUGGAACCGGGUUGCUGCAUUUGUAUACGAAAGAUCUACAACCUAGUAUGCUUAUUGGUCUUGCGAUUGUCAAUUUUUUGCUUCUAUGCUAAAUUAUGAGGAGGUUAAGAGAACGUGAUGAACACAACUCUGCCUUUUCUGCCAUACAGAUUGCUUUCUGAGUAUUAGGUUAAAUACAUUUCGUUAUACAAGUGAAUGAAUAUUUCGC
This 718-nucleotide long non-coding RNA is filed under the name Helianthus annuus (common sunflower). RNAcentral's name for it is "hypothetical non coding rna". Lineage: Eukaryota; Viridiplantae; Streptophyta; Magnoliopsida; Asterales; Asteraceae. The record is from RNAcentral.